This is a long non-coding RNA of Equus caballus (horse), 3599 nucleotides long. The record is from Ensembl. NCBI's taxonomy places the organism in Eukaryota, Metazoa, Chordata, Mammalia, Perissodactyla, Equidae.
AGGCUACAAAUGCCUCAAGUAAGCUGCUGGCCUAAAGAGUAUGAGAGAUGUGUGCAGCAGAGAUUAAUGAACCCAUAGCCUGGAACCAAGCCCAGCCAAGAUCAGCCAACCUUAGCUGACCCCAGGAUGUGUGAGUUCUGUUUCUGGGGAAAUUAAACCAAUCAGAUAAGAUCAAGAAUGAGACUGCAUCCUGAUAAUAGCAUCAGAAGUAUCGAAGAAGUAGGCUUGGUUCCUGUUCCAGGUGUGUCCUCCCUGGAAAGCAGACAAUGAAACAGAAUUAGGAAGAUCUGAGAAGUGCAUGUCCGUGGAUGCCAUGGUUCCUCCGAGGAAAUGUCUUCUAAGAGAGCAGCAUGGAUGGGAAGUAGAAGAAGAGAAGUCGGUAAGUUCACAUGAGACCUGGUUUCCGACCCUCAUUCAGCAUUAGUUUAUGGUGACAGUCUCUUAACCUCUCUGGGUCUCAGUUUUCUCAACUAAGAAGGUGAAGGGGACUCUGAAAUCUAGCAUAUAUUUGAUUCUAGAUAGCAAGAAUUCUUAUUCAGAAAUCCCCUGGAAUGAGAAUGGUAUUAAGAAUAUGGAUUGCCUGAGUUUGAAAUCUGGCUUUAGCCUUGACUAAUUGUGUAAUCUUGUGUGAAUUAUAAAAUCUCUCUGGACCUUGGUUUCCUCAUCUUUAAAAUGGGACUAAUAAUAGUGCCUACCUAAUAGGGUUGAAAAUCCAAAGAGAAGAAAGCGUUUAGAAUGAUGCCUGUCACAUAGUGAAUGCUCAGCAAAUGCUAGUUCUAACUCCCAUCCCCUACCUACACAUGGUCCCACCUACAAAUACUCUUGAAAGGGCCUGGAGCUUAGAGUGAAAAUUUAAGGGGCAUAAAGGCCCAGGUGAGGCUCGGCAGCAACUAUGUCUAAGGAGAGACUUUUGCCCUGCUUUUUGUGUAUCCUCAUUUCUGAGAAAGGGUAAAAAGCAUUUUUCUUCCAGAGUACAAUUUGUGUUGCUUCCGGAUUGCCUAGUAACAAAAGCCUCUCCUCAUUCUUUUUCUGAUCUGAUUGUUUUCACCUCAACAGUUUUUUUACUUGAAGGUUUUAAAAAAUUGUUAAUUGAGUUCUGCUCCCCUGACCGCUUGAAGUCACUACAUCUUAAACAAAACAAGCCCAUAAUAUCACCUGUUACAACCUGCUCAGAGUCAUUAACUUUCUAUUCUUUUAUUUUUCGGAUGCUUGACAACCAGGCUUUCUUUGCUUCGACCAUAAUGAGGUGUCACCCUUAAGUUAGCCUCACAGCCUAGGGGGUCUGGCCCAUUUCUUCUCAAAGCCAGGGUUCCCACACUUUCAGGCCUUUGAUGAAAAGGAAAGAGAAUGUGCUUCGGGAAAUGAUUCCAAUGGUACAGAACCCGAAGAGCAAGACUGUUGUCGAUCAUAAUCAUCAAAAGGAGAGUUUACAACGGGAGGAAGAGAAAUGGAUAUUUUUGAAUGACUGAAGUAAGGUCUUUCUAAUCCCAUAGAACAAUUUAGCUGUUCAUUUUGAAAGGCGGCGUCCUCACUGUUGGCAAAGGGAUGCAGAAGUGGAAUUAGAACAGGGGUAGGCUGUGUGAGAGGGAAAUGGAAAACAGUGCAUCCAGCCUUGCUCUGAUCCUACCAGUAGCCUCUUUCCCAGGAGAUCAGAAACAGGGGCGUGUUCAUUGUUGUCAAGAGUCAUCUUGAAGCCUAGCAGUGUUUUCAGCAAAAUGGUGCAUAAUUUGCUUCAUGUUUCCAUGAGGAUGUUUCAUCUUGUUUAUUGAAAGAGGAAGUACAGUUAAGUCCUGUCACCGCUGGGAACCGGUGAGUUUCUUCUUCUCUCUACAUCCUAAAUUACUUUGAUAUUAAAGAAAUGUGACUGUAGACAUGAGAUAGGAACUGAGCAUCCUGUUUAUUUCCCUAGAGGCAAAAAACCCCCAAGAAACAAAAAAACAAAAAACACAAGCUACCAUUGCCGAGGAAGAAACAGAAACCAUAGCUGCUGGACUCUCCGUGUUUUUUCCCACUAGUUUUUCAGCCCCCUAAUUACUUAUCCCUAGUUCUUACUUACUUGUAUCUCAGUACGCCUUUUUUCUCUCUCCUAUUUGCCCCUUUCACCCCCCAGAACUCUGAGGUAUAACUGUCUCUCUAGUUCUACCCUUUGUCCCCUGAGAGGCAUAGCAGUCUAGCGGUCAAGCACUCAGUGACUGGAACACAUUUAUUACCCAUGUAAACUCAGGCCAGUUGCUCCCCUCCCUCUACCUCAUUUCCUCAUCUGUAAAAGAGAUUUAAAUAGUCCUAUAUCAUGGGGUGCUUGUAAGGACUCCAUGAGGGAACAUGUACAAAGCAUCUAGAAUCAAUGUUGGCUCUUUCUAGUCUUAUAUCCUCUGUCCUCAUCCCUUCCCAUAGAUUCUGUACUACUCACUCUCUAGCAAUUCAAAGGAAAAGGAAGAGAAAACUGGCUAAGAGAAACAGAAAGGUGAGUUCUAGUAGUAGCUUUCAGGCAGGGGGAAAGGAGCAUUCCACUGUCGUUGAAGUAUAAGAAGGCCCUCUCUAGAAUUUUUGCAGAAUGGUCUAGAACAAUCAUUUGAGCCUAUAUAAUUCAUACAGGAAAAUAGGGAUAUAGGCAAAGCUGUUUCUAGUUUCUCUGACACCCGUGAUAGAGAGCCCUGUUUAGCACACCUAGUCUUAAAAAAAGAAUUUAGACUAAAAAUUGACCUCACACUUUUGGCUUCUGUAGGACACAAGCAGAAUCUAAAAUACAUUAAUAUGGCCAUGAGGAGGAAUGAAGAAGGAUGAGAGAGAGGGGGUAGUAAAAAAGCAACUCAGUCCAUUUCUCCACUGCAUCUAAGAGGAAUUUUCCUAGGCUGAGAUCCAAUGGCCGCUCUGAAAUCAGUCCCAACUCAAAUCAUGUGGCACUUCAUGGUACUUUAAUCUGGGACCUCUGCAUUGAUGUGGAAUAGAGGAAAUGUGUAUGUGAAUGGCCAGAAUGAUGCCACCACCCUUCUGGGAAGCUCCACUUUAUGCCACUCAGCCAAGGCCUCAAAGAUACAUGAGUAGUUACUUGGUUGACAUUAUUAUUAAUCCUGUUAAUAGUAAAUUACAUUUUUGACAUUGCAUAAGCUUUUAAUAGUGGAGGACUUCAAACAUAUGUAAAAUAGACAGCUGUGUAACGUGAGUCCCCACAUAGCCUUCACCUAUCUUUAACAAUUGUCAACUCAGGGCCAAUCUUCUUUCAUUUGUGCUCUACCCACUUCUCUACUUUCCAUAUGAUUUCAAAGCAAAUCCUGGCUCUCAUAUCAUUUCAUCCAUAAGUGUUUCAGUAAAUUUCUCUGAAACAGAUUGGCAAACUCUGGCCCGUGGAUCAACCUCCUGUUUUAUAAAUGAAGUUUACUGGAACACAGCCACGCCCUUUUGUUUACCUAGUGUCUAUUGGCUGUUUUCCCAGACAGAGACCCUAUGGUCCACAAAGCCUAAAAUAUUUACUAUUUGGCGCUUUAAGAAAAAGUUUGCUGACCCCUGUGCUAAAAGAUAAAGACUUUAAAAAACCUAACUACAAUAUCAUUAUCAUACCUCGAAAAUUAACAAUAAUUUACUGCAUGGUAACUUAAAAU